UUCCUUCCCCACUGUGCUUUCUGCUCUUGAAAUAUCUUAGUGAAGUUGCUGCAGACUUCCCAUGUUAAGCAGGCUUAGUGUUGAGUGGUGCACCAAGGGUCAGGUGUAUUUGCAUGCUGUGCGAGGCCACUGCAGCUGGCUGGUUAAGCUCGGUGAAAACACCUGGCCACUAUGUCAUCUCAACUAUGCUAUAAACUCCUGGAAAUUAACAACUGUAAGAUGACACCUGUCAUAGUCCUUUGCCUCUGGUAAGUAUUAGUAUUUCUCACUUGAUUUUUUGAUUGUUUUGACCACAUGAUCAUCUUCUCUGUGGCAUUUCUUUAGACUGGUACUACUCAAACUUGAAAGUGAAUACAAAUCACCUGGUGUCCUGUUAAGAUAUGGAUUCUGAUUCAGUAGAUUUGGGGUAGGGUCUAAGAUUCUGCAUUUCUACAGGCUUCUAGUGAUGUGGAUGUGAUUACAAACAGAGCUCUACCUGGCUUUAAACAGCAAGGCCUUAUCUUACAAUGAAAACAUUGUGCGAUCUCACCUUGGAGAGGCUGGUGGGGAUUUCUAGAUUGUAUUUAUAUUAGCCAUGUACUUUCAUUGAGGACUUUGUUGUUUCCCUCAACUCCAUUCAUUCAUUCCCUCACCCUCCUUGUCCACACUCCUUUUAGCUGUCCCUGCAGUGGGAACAUGUUUCAAUGGAAGGAGUUGCUCAGACGGUCAGGCCCAGCAGUGCAAAGUGUUCAGUGGGUUUUCAAGACCACCAAUAUUGUCCUCUUUUUUGUCUUUUUAUUCCUGUGGGUCUGUCGUGUUACCCAUCCGUGAGCCUCCACCGCAUCCAUCUGAAGACUGAGCAGAGCCCUUUGGACAUGGUGAUCUGGGGUUGGCAGAGGUAAGAUUAUUUAUGUACGUGCACCUUUUUACUGAAACUGAAUACGGCCAACUGCAUCAAUGAACACUGCAUGAGUGCUUAAUCGAUGAGGACCCUGACUCUUCUUUACUUCGUUAUAUCCUUCCAAAGACAUUUGUUGUGGGAUUUUAUUAUUCUUGUUUAAGUGUAUGCACUAGAUAUAUUUCUUCACUGAAUCAUUUAAUCCUACUCCUAAUAACAGGGGCCAUUUAUUUAGAUUUUAGUUCAUGCUCAAUCUUGAUCUUCCUUCAGAAAGCGUGUGAGAUUUAGUUCUCUUCCAUUAUUUCCCUUUCUAGAAAUGCUAUUCCACAGAAAAUAGGGCCUUUUUUUUCUUAGUAACUUAGUUAUUCAUAGUUCUGUAACCAUUUCC
Molecule: long non-coding RNA, 1265 nt
Filed under: Felis catus (domestic cat)
Lineage: Eukaryota; Metazoa; Chordata; Mammalia; Carnivora; Felidae
Description: lncRNA (ENSFCAG00000048716.1)
Source: RNAcentral